RNAcentral lists this ribosomal RNA (252 nucleotides) under uncultured prokaryote. Its description in RNAcentral is "partial 16S rRNA". It matches the Rfam family "Archaeal small subunit ribosomal RNA", at positions 475 to 726 of the family's 1478-position model. The record is from RNAcentral.
ACCGGCAGCUCAAGUGGUGGCCAUUUUUAUUGGGCCUAAAGCGUUCGUAGCCGGCUUGAUAAGUCUCUGGUGAAAUCCCACAGCUUAACUGUGGGAAUUGCUGGAGAUACUAUCAGGCUUGAGGCCGGGAGAGGCUGGAGGUACUCCCAGGUUAGGGGUGAAAUCCUAUAAUCAUGGGAGGACCAAAUGUGGCAAAGGCGUCCAGCUGGAAGGGACCUGAAGGUGAGUAACGAAAGGCCGGGGCGCGAACCG